Molecule: transfer RNA, 71 nt
Filed under: Candidatus Woesearchaeota archaeon
Lineage: Archaea; Nanobdellati; Candidatus Woesearchaeota
Description: tRNA-Gly
Rfam family: tRNA
About the family: Transfer RNA (tRNA) molecules are approximately 80 nucleotides in length. Their secondary structure includes four short double-helical elements and three loops (D, anti-codon, and T loops).
Source: RNAcentral
GCGCCGGUGGUCUAGUGGUAUGACAGCGGCCUUCCAAGCCGCUUACCUGGGUUCGAAUCCCAGCCGGCGCA